ACACACAGGUCGUGGGUUCUCCUUUGAGAGUGACCACUGGUUCCUAGAGCUUUUCCUAAACUGGAGACGGAUCCUGCCCUGGGGGUCUCAGUCACCGCGAGGACUCGAGGAUAGCAAAACUAAGUGUCAAAAGCACCUUCUGCACACAGUCUGCACACACUGGCCGGUGGUCCUGUUCCCGCAAGGUUGAGCUGUGUUCCAGAGACAUGGGUCCUCCGGGUGAUGAGGAGCCGCUGGAGGGCCCUGAGCUGCACGUGCUAAUGAUUAACGCCCCGUCCGUGCUGGCCGGUUUCUCAAAUGCCUCCUGACGAUUGCGCACAGCCGGACAUCAUUUGUACUGAGAGACAAAAGGAAAUCACUGAGGCUUUCUGAGCUGGUGUCAGGAGCAGGGCUUAGCAAGAUCUCUCCUUUGAGCGGCUUUCUCUGGAAUCGGGUGAAGUCCCCACAACACAGAGGCCCCUGUGCGCGCCCCUUCUUUGGGGCCAGCACCUCCCUUCAACUGAGGCUGAUACCUUUAUUUGGGAAUCUGGGGGCAGUUGCUGCCUCUGUGCCGGCAAAGGCUUUCAGCUUGGAGGACGUUUUCCCUGCUUACUGGAGAUUUUCCCAAUGGUGUCCAUGUCACUGUUCCUCUAGCAGAUGUGGAAAGUGGCUGCUCAGUGAGGACUCAGCCCCCACCAACCUGACUGAGGGUCACACGACACCAUGGUGGAAAGUCACAAAGGGUAACGGGCCAAGAGGGUGAGGGGGGCUCCCUGACCCUGAGGACCCCUGAGGCACUGCUGCACCUUCCACGGAUUCUGUGUCUAGCGUUGCCCUCUUUGCAGAUGCCCCUCGUGGUGGUGGCACAAAGACCUAAAAAUGAUUUCUGUAAAAUGGGUACAAGGAGCUCCCUGAUAAAGCAGCUCAUCCUAG
This 912-nucleotide long non-coding RNA is filed under the name Homo sapiens (human). RNAcentral describes it as "long intergenic non-protein coding RNA 334". Lineage: Eukaryota; Metazoa; Chordata; Mammalia; Primates; Hominidae. The record is from RNAcentral.